RNAcentral lists this ribosomal RNA (588 nucleotides) under uncultured bacterium. Its description in RNAcentral is "partial 16S ribosomal RNA". It matches the Rfam family "Bacterial small subunit ribosomal RNA", at positions 355 to 1375 of the family's 1533-position model. The record is from RNAcentral.
UGGGGAAUUUUGGACAAUGGGCGAAAGCCUGAUCCAGCAAUGCCGCGUGUGUGAAGAAGGCCUUCGGGUUGUAAAGCACUUUUGUCCGGAAAGAAAUCCUUGGCUCUAAUACAGUCGGGGGAUGACGGUACCGGAAGAAUAAGCACCGGCUAACUACGUGCCAGCAGCCGCGGUAAUACGUAGGGUGCAAGCGUUAAUCGGAAUUACUGGGCGUAAAGCGUGCGCAGGCGGUUUGCUAAGACCGAUGUGAAAUCCCCGGGCUCAACCUGGGAACUGCAUUGGUGACUGGCAGGCUAGAGUAUGGCAGAGGGGGGUAGAAUUCCACGUGUAGCAGUGAAAUGCGUAGAGAUGUGGAGGAAUACCGAUGGCGAAGGCAGCCCCCUGGGCCAAUACUGACGCUCAUGCACGAAAGCGUGGGGAGCAAACAGGAUUAGAUACCCUGGUAGUCCACGCCCUAAACGAUGUCAACUAGUUGUUGGGGAUUCAUUUCCUUAGUAACGUAGCUAACGCGUGAAGUUGACCGCCUGGGGAGUACGGUCGUCAAAGAUUAAAAACUUAAAUGAAUUGACGGGGUCAUAGCUGUUUCCU